Molecule: ribosomal RNA, 499 nt
Filed under: uncultured bacterium
Lineage: Bacteria
Description: partial 16S ribosomal RNA
Rfam family: Bacterial small subunit ribosomal RNA
Source: RNAcentral
GACGAACGCUGGCGGCGUGCUUAACACAUGCAAGUCGAACGGGCCCGCUCUCUUUUUUGGGGGUGGGUUGAGUGGCGAACGGGUGAGUAUCACGUGAGUAACCUGCCCCCUGCUCCUGGAUAACUGCUUGAAAGGGCGGCUAAUACGGGGUGUGCCGGCUGGUCCGCAUGGGCCUGGUCGGGAUAGUUUCAUCUUCGGGUGUUUCGGUGGGGGAUGGGCUCGCGGCCUAUCAGCUUGUUGGUGGGGUGAUGGCCCACCAAGGCGGUGACGGGUAGCCGGCCUGAGAGGGUGGGCGGCCACACUGGGACUGAGACACGGCCCAGACGCCUGCGGGAGGCAGCAGUGGGGGGUAUUGCACAAUGGGCGGAAGCCUGAUGCAGCGACGUCGCGUGAGGGAUGGAGGCCUUCGGGUUGUGAACCUCUUUCUCCGGUGGUGAAGGCCCUGUCCGUUGCGGCGGGGUUGACGGUAGCCGGGGAUGAAGCGCCGGCUAACUACGUG